This 246-nucleotide long non-coding RNA is filed under the name Felis catus (domestic cat). RNAcentral describes it as "lncRNA (ENSFCAG00000053474.1)". Lineage: Eukaryota; Metazoa; Chordata; Mammalia; Carnivora; Felidae. The record is from RNAcentral.
UCUUCAAUAUCCACAACACUCUCUGGCAUCUCGGAAAAGCUCGAUAAAUACCUCUUGAAUAAGAUUGUCGUACCGGGCCGAAGACGGUUGAGUUGGCCCUCGAAGGCUCUCCUUGAACUGGGAUUCUAUCAGAAGUUCUUCUCCACUAGGAGGGGUCAAGGUGUAAAUGAACCUCUUCUGAGUGGCCCUCACCUCUCCUUACAUCUGAAGUCAGGCUGCAAAUUGACUUGCCCAGAACAUGCUGAG